Non-coding RNA from Triticum aestivum (bread wheat), 113 nucleotides. The record is from Rfam. Lineage: Eukaryota; Viridiplantae; Streptophyta; Magnoliopsida; Poales; Poaceae.
UCAUUACUCCCUCCGUUCGGAAUUACUCGUCCAAGAAAUGAAUGUAUCUAGAUGUACUUUAGUUAGAUACAUCCAUUUUUGUGACAAGUAAUUCCAAACGGAGGGAGUACUUU